Non-coding RNA from Phrynosoma platyrhinos (Desert horned lizard), 72 nucleotides. The record is from the annotation of a GenBank genome assembly. NCBI's taxonomy places the organism in Eukaryota, Metazoa, Chordata, Lepidosauria, Squamata, Phrynosomatidae.
GCCAGUGUGGCAUAGUGGUUUCAGUGUUGGAUUACAACUCUGGAGAUCAGGGUUCAAUUCCCAGAUCAGCCA